RNAcentral lists this ribosomal RNA (462 nucleotides) under uncultured bacterium. RNAcentral describes it as "partial 16S ribosomal RNA". It matches the Rfam family "Bacterial small subunit ribosomal RNA", at positions 28 to 507 of the family's 1533-position model. The record is from RNAcentral.
GAUAAACGCUGGCGGCGUGCUUAACACAUGCAAGUCGAACGAAGUUUUUCCUUCGGGAGAAACUUAGUGGCGGACGGGUGAGUAACGCGUGGGUAACCUGCCCUGUACAGGUGGACAACAGCUGGAAACGGCUGCUAAUACCGCAUAAGCCCUUAGCACUGCAUGGUGCAUAGGGGAAAGGAGCAAUCCGGUACAGGAUGGACCCGCGUCUGAUUAGCCAGUUGGCAGGGUAACGGCCUACCAAAGCGACGAUCAGUAGCCGAUCUGAGAGGAUGUACGGCCACAUUGGGACUGAGACACGGCCCAGACUCCUACGGGAGGCAGCAGUGGGGAAUAUUGCACAAUGGAGGAAACUCUGAUGCAGCGACGCCGCGUGAGUGAAGAAGUAUUUCGGUAUGUAAAGCUCUAUCAGCAGGGAAGAAAAUGACGGUACCUGACUAAGAAGCACCGGCUAACUACGUG